Molecule: unclassified non-coding RNA, 391 nt
Filed under: soil metagenome
Description: partial contains 5.8S ribosomal RNA, internal transcribed spacer 2, and large subunit ribosomal RNA
Rfam family: 5.8S ribosomal RNA (bases 1-122)
Source: RNAcentral
GAUGAAGAACGCAGCGAAAUGCGAUACUUGGUGUGAAUUGCAGAAUCCCGUGAACCAUCGAGUCUUUGAACGCAAGUUGCGCCCGAAGUCAUUAGGCCGAGGGCACGCCUGCCUGGGCGUCACACGUCGUUGCCCCCCCAUCUACUCCUUCGGGAUUGCGGGGGGCGGAUGAUGGCCUCCCGUGCGCCUCGCCGCGCGGUUGGCAUAAAUGCCAAGUCCUCGGCGACGCACGCCACGACAAUCGGUGGUUGCGAAACCUCGGUUGCCCGUCGUGUGCGGUCGUCGCGCAUCGAGGGCUCGAAAAAAUUGCCGGGUUCCGGCUCGGCUUUCAACGCGACCCCAGGUCAGGCGGGGUUACCCGCUGAAUUUAAGCAUAUCAAUAAGCGGAGGA